Molecule: transfer RNA, 71 nt
Organism: Chondromyces crocatus
Lineage: Bacteria; Pseudomonadati; Myxococcota; Polyangiales; Polyangiaceae
Rfam family: tRNA
About the family: Transfer RNA (tRNA) molecules are approximately 80 nucleotides in length. Their secondary structure includes four short double-helical elements and three loops (D, anti-codon, and T loops).
Source: Rfam
GGGGUGAUGGUUCAACGGGAGAACGCUGCUCUUGCACAGCAGAGAUCGGGGUUCGAUUCCCCGCCACUCCA